UGUCAGGUUGUCAGGCUGUUGAGUUGC
RNAcentral lists this non-coding RNA (27 nucleotides) under Mus musculus (house mouse). Lineage: Eukaryota; Metazoa; Chordata; Mammalia; Rodentia; Muridae. The record is from RNAcentral.